AGGACGAACGCUGGCGGCGUGCUUAACACAUGCAAGUCGAGCGGUAAGGCCUUUCGGGGUACACGAGCGGCGAACGGGUGAGUAACACGUGGGUGAUCUGCCCUGCACUCUGGGAUAAGCCUGGGAAACUGGGUCUAAUACCGGAUAUGACCUGCUCUCGCAUGGGGGUGGGUGGAAAGAUUUAUCGGUGCAGGAUGGGCCCGCGGCCUAUCAGUCUUGUGGGUAGGUANCGGACC
This 236-nucleotide ribosomal RNA is filed under the name uncultured soil bacterium. Its description in RNAcentral is "partial 16S ribosomal RNA". It matches the Rfam family "Bacterial small subunit ribosomal RNA", at positions 26 to 268 of the family's 1533-position model. The record is from RNAcentral.